UCCGGGUCGGUGUGGUUCAUCGCCGGGCCUCCAUCGCCUGGGUCAGUGCGGCGAGGCCGCGCGCGGUGUGCGUCUUCACCGAGCCGGAG
This 89-nucleotide transfer RNA is filed under the name Streptomyces massasporeus. RNAcentral describes it as "tRNA-Trp". Lineage: Bacteria; Bacillati; Actinomycetota; Actinomycetes; Kitasatosporales; Streptomycetaceae. The record is from RNAcentral.